Long non-coding RNA from Chelonus insularis, 369 nucleotides. RefSeq lists it as uncharacterized. The record is from RefSeq and is a predicted model, not a curated record. The transcript has 3 exons. Lineage: Eukaryota; Metazoa; Arthropoda; Insecta; Hymenoptera; Braconidae.
AUAGAUCAGGAGAACCAGUUGUCUUAAGUAAAGAGACCCUGAAGUUAAAUCCAAAGGGUAGCUGUUGAAAAGGAAGCAUUGUAAUCCUCUUAAAAGUCAGACUUUGCAGGCGCCACUUGAAUCUUCACCAGCAGGACUAUUUAACAUAGGGGCAUACAUUAUCAACUCCUUCAUUGGAAAUCCCAGCGUAGGAGAAAGUUGGUGCUAAUUCACCAGUUCCAUUGAUAUCUUCAUAAAAAGAACCACGAAACCAAAAGCAACUAGGAUCAAUUGUGAUGUAGAUCCAAAGGAAAUGAUUGAAAUUGAUAAAGCAAGACUCAUCGAUAUUGAAAUAUGUUUAAAAACCAGUAAAAUUAUUCAUCUUCCAAU